AGUUAAAUAGUACGUGAAAUUGUUGAAAGGGAAACGAUUGAAGUCAGUCAUGCUAGUGAAAAAUCAGUUUGACGGGUUUUGAGUUCAGGAGUAGAGGCAGGGUCAAACCGUUUCUCUUUUGGACUUGGGAUUUGUUAGAUGUACUUUUUCUUUGGCAGGUCAGCGUCGAUUUCGGAGGUUGUAAAAUACUUGGGGGAAAGUAACUCUGCUUCGGGAGAGUAUUAUAGACCCUGGGGGAUGCAGCCUGCGGGAUCGAGGAUUGCAGCAAAUGCCUUUGGCUUGUCGCCUGAUCUCUGGAUGUUACCUCGCUUGUGACAACAUUCUUGCCACCUGUGGGUACUAAUGCCCAUUAGGUUAGAGCGAUCAAAAAUUUUGCUAAGGAUGCUGACGUAAUGGCUUUAAA
This 403-nucleotide unclassified non-coding RNA is filed under the name uncultured Diversispora. RNAcentral's name for it is "sequence contains 28S rRNA gene". The record is from RNAcentral. Lineage: Eukaryota; Fungi; Glomeromycota; Glomeromycetes; Diversisporales; Diversisporaceae.